UAUGCUAUAGCUCAUUAGGUAGAGUAGUUGAUAAAAAAUCAACCUGUUACUGGUUCGAUUCCAGUUAGCAUAC
RNAcentral lists this transfer RNA (73 nucleotides) under Pseudomonadota bacterium. RNAcentral describes it as "Proteobacteria bacterium tRNA-Phe". It matches the Rfam family "tRNA". Rfam says of the family: Transfer RNA (tRNA) molecules are approximately 80 nucleotides in length. Lineage: Bacteria; Pseudomonadati; Pseudomonadota. The record is from RNAcentral.